This is a non-coding RNA of Pelobates cultripes (western spadefoot toad), 309 nucleotides long. NCBI's taxonomy places the organism in Eukaryota, Metazoa, Chordata, Amphibia, Anura, Pelobatidae. The record is from the annotation of a GenBank genome assembly.
GUGAGUGUUAGAGUGAGUGUUAGAGUGAGUGUUAGUGUGUGUGAGUGUUAGUGUGUGUCUGCUAGUGAGUGUUAGUGUGAGUGUUAGAGUGAAUGUGAGUGUUAGUGUCUGUCUGCUAGUGAGUGUCAGUGAGUGUGUUACUGUGUGUGUCUUACUGAGUGUGUGUGUGAGUGUUAGUGUGUGUCUGCUAGUGAGUGUCAGUGAGUGUGUUACUGUGUGUGUCUUACUGAGUGUGUGUGUUAGUGAGUCUGUUUGAUGUCUGUUAGUGAGUGUGUGUUUGUCAAUGAGAGUGUACGUUUUGUAAGUGAG